This 432-nucleotide ribosomal RNA is filed under the name uncultured bacterium. RNAcentral describes it as "partial 16S ribosomal RNA". It matches the Rfam family "Bacterial small subunit ribosomal RNA", at positions 29 to 507 of the family's 1533-position model. The record is from RNAcentral.
ACGAACGCUGGCGGCAUGCCUAACACAUGCAAGUCGAACGAGACCUUCGGGUCUAGUGGCGCCCGGGUGCGUAACGCGUGGGAACCUGCCCUUAGGUUCGGAAUAACUCCCCGAAAGGGGUGCUAAUACCGGAUAAUGUCUUCGGACCAAAGAUUUAUCGCCUUUGGAUGGGCCCGCGUUGGAUUAGCUAGUUGGUAGGGUAAAAGCCUACCAAGGCGACGAUCCAUAGCUGGUCUGAGAGGAUGAUCAGCCACACUGGGACUGAGACACGGCCCAGACUCCUACGGGAGGCAGCAGUGGGGAAUAUUGGACAAUGGGCGAAAGCCUGAUCCAGCAAUGCCGCGUGAGUGAUGAAGGCCUUAGGGUUGUAAAGCUCUUUUACCCGGGAUGAUAAUGACAGUACCGGGAGAAUAAGCUCCGGCCAACUCCGUG